GCAAACUUGGUCAUUUAGAGGAAGUACAAGUCGUAACAAGGUAUCCGUAGGUGAACCUGCGGAUGGAUCAUUACCAAAGGAUUCAUUUCCAACGUUCUGUGAACUGUUUUGAAUUUACAGUCAGUGUUUUGUUUAAUUUUUCAGUAGCGGUAGGGCAACCUUCACUACAGUAAGGUGAAACAAGCACUGGCCGUACUAUAUAAACGUAUUCUUAAACUGAAGUCUACUUUAGUAUAAACUAAAGACAACUUUUAGCAACGGAUCUCUUGGCUCUCGCAUCGAUGAAGAACGCAGC
This 295-nucleotide unclassified non-coding RNA is filed under the name uncultured fungus. RNAcentral's name for it is "partial contains small subunit ribosomal RNA, internal transcribed spacer 1, and 5.8S ribosomal RNA". The stretch from base 1 to 73 matches the Rfam family "Eukaryotic small subunit ribosomal RNA", at positions 1759 to 1831 of the family's 1831-position model. The record is from RNAcentral. Lineage: Eukaryota; Fungi.